RNAcentral lists this ribosomal RNA (522 nucleotides) under uncultured bacterium. RNAcentral's name for it is "bacterial SSU rRNA". It matches the Rfam family "Bacterial small subunit ribosomal RNA", at positions 387 to 917 of the family's 1533-position model. The record is from RNAcentral.
UGCAGCGACGCCGCGUGGGGGAUGACGGCCUUCGGGUUGUAAACUCCUUUCGCUAGGGACGAAGCUUUUUGUGACGGUACCUAGAUAAGAAGCACCGGCUAACUACGUGCCAGCAGCCGCGGUAAUACGUAGGGUGCGAGCGUUGUCCGGAAUUACUGGGCGUAAAGGGCUCGUAGGUGGUUUGUCGCGUCGUCUGUGAAAUUCCGGGGCUUAACUCCGGGCGUGCAGGCGAUACGGGCAUAACUUGAGUACUGUAGGGGUAACUGGAAUUCCUGGUGUAGCGGUGAAAUGCGCAGAUAUCAGGAGGAACACCGAUGGCGAAGGCAGGUUACUGGGCAGUUACUGACGCUGAGGAGCGAAAGCAUGGGUAGCGAACAGGAUUAGAUACCCUGGUAGUCCAUGCCGUAAACGGUGGGCGCUAGGUGUGAGGGUCUUUUCACGACUUUCGUGCCGUAGCUAACGCAUUAAGCGCCCCGCCUGGGGAGUACGGCCGCAAGGCUAAAACUCAAAGGAAUUGACGGA